UAUCAUGACAUUGAUAUCAUAUUAUUUCUUAUUUGAACAGAUUUUACAACUGCUGUGAUGGUAUUUUCAACCUAUUGUCAAUACGCGACAACGUGUAAGUGUAAAAGAUUUCCAAAGAAGACAGUGUUAGAGUUAAGAAAGCCAUGCAAACAGAAACCAGCAAAAGAAUAUUCUAACAACGUAAAUUAUAAUAGAUCGAUUGCUGAUAAAAUGGUUGACAGUCUUAUCCUUAAAACUGAAAAUCUACUCAAAAACUACGACGACCGUCCAGUAACCGCGGUCUCAAAAAACCAUCGUUCUUCUAGUCAAUCAAAACUUCCAGUAUUUAAAAAAGGGAAAAGAUUAAACUCUCUUCAAAAGAAUGUUGCAGAAGGUCUGAAAGUUUUCUAUUACAGCCUUACUUCAAUGGAGUUAAAAGAA
Molecule: long non-coding RNA, 420 nt
Organism: Mytilus californianus (California mussel)
Lineage: Eukaryota; Metazoa; Mollusca; Bivalvia; Mytilida; Mytilidae
Exons: 3
Source: RefSeq, a predicted model, not a curated record